This 70-nucleotide non-coding RNA is filed under the name Pseudomonas costantinii. Lineage: Bacteria; Pseudomonadati; Pseudomonadota; Gammaproteobacteria; Pseudomonadales; Pseudomonadaceae. The record is from RNAcentral.
GAGCGAAACCGUUCCAGGCGACUGGACGGUCUAUCCGGUGUGGCAGCCGGGUACUGAUGAGCUGCCGAGG